Molecule: ribosomal RNA, 204 nt
Filed under: uncultured bacterium
Lineage: Bacteria
Description: partial 16S ribosomal RNA
Rfam family: Bacterial small subunit ribosomal RNA
Source: RNAcentral
UCGCCCUUCCUACGGGAGGCAGCAGUGGGGAAUCUUCCGCAAUGGGCGCAAGCCUGACGGAGCGACGCCGCGUGAGGGACGAAGGCCUUCGGGUUGUAAACCUCUUUUCUGGGGGAAGAACGUUUGGCCUGUUAAUAGCGGGUUGAGUUGACGGUACCCCAGGAAUAAGCCCCGGCUAACUACGUGCCAGCAGCCGCGGUAAUA